Molecule: ribosomal RNA, 253 nt
Filed under: uncultured bacterium
Lineage: Bacteria
Description: partial 16S ribosomal RNA
Rfam family: Bacterial small subunit ribosomal RNA
Source: RNAcentral
UACGGGGGGGGCAAGCGUUGUUCGGAAUUACUGGGCGUAAAGGGCGCGUAGGCGGCCUGCUAAGUCGGACGUGAAAUCCCUCGGCUCAACCGAGGAACUGCGUCCGAUACUGGUGGGCUUGAAUCCGGGAGAGGGAUGUGGAAUUCCAGGUGUAGCGGUGAAAUGCGUAGAUAUCUGGAGGAGCACCGGUGGCGAAGGCGGCAUCCUGGACCGGUAUUGACGCUGAGGCGCGAAAGCUAGGGUAGCAAACGGG